Dunckerocampus dactyliophorus (ringed pipefish) is the source of this 104-nucleotide small nucleolar RNA. RefSeq annotates it as small nucleolar RNA SNORD67. The transcript has a single exon. The record is from RefSeq and is a predicted model, not a curated record. NCBI's taxonomy places the organism in Eukaryota, Metazoa, Chordata, Actinopteri, Syngnathiformes, Syngnathidae.
GGUCUGACUGAAGAUUUGCACUCAGACUGAUGUGCAGUCACAGUAGACCCAUCCUGAUGACCUGUGAUGACACUUAACUGUGCACAGGGGCCAUCUGAAUUAGG